UCUGUGCUCCCCAGUCGGCCCACACAUCACCGGCCCUCCAACAUCAAGACCCCUCCCUCCCUGGGAGCACCUCCUCUUGUCCCACUUGAGUGCAGCCUUUCCCUGCUGAUCGUGGGGAAUCGCAGGGAAAGGCUGGUCGUCCCAUCCACCGCCCUGCCCUGCCUGGCACGCUCUGCCCGUGCUGAGAUGGCCUUCUCCCCACCAGCUCUCUCUGUCGGCCAUUCUACACCCACUUCCCAGUUCCUUUCCCUCCAAAGUACUGGGGUGGCCAACAACAGUCAUCCCCAGGCUCCUCCCAGGAGAGGCCGUGUGACUGGGUCUCGGCCAAUGAGGCAGGAGCCGGCAUCUGCUGGGAGGGCUUCCUUUCCCAAAGAGGUCCCCCAGGGCAUGCUCCCUUUCCCAUCUGCACUGUGGAAGUCAAGCUGCACCACCUUCCUGGGAGGGAGUGUCGGGAGGAGUGUCAGGACAGCAGGCAGAAGAAGCCAGGUCUGGCCCCGCCUUCCUGUCGGGUGGGACAAGGAAAGCCCUGUGCAUUAGGGUAGCGGUUCCGAGGGACACGUCUUCUCUGGUUUAAUCAAUCACUGCACCAUGAACCAGAUGCUGUUGUUCGGGGCAGAAAAAUCAAAGCACAGAGAGGUUGGCGACAAUCCCAAGUCACACAGCUCUCGAGGGGCGGCCGGACUGGUUGUUAGGCUGCUCUCUGAAUGCCUCUGCUAUCGCCGCCCGCAGCUCCACGAGGCUAGGCCAGAACACCAGACAUGACUGGACCGUUUUCAAGGCGCUCAGCCUGUGGGCGGCAGAGCUGGGACCCUAGCCCGGCUCAGGGCAUGGCUCACACUUGAGUCCCCUUCAUCACGUCUGUACAGGACAAGCCUUCCAGAUGAGUCAUUCCCUGCGGGAGUUGCUUUACGAUGCUGCGCUUUGAAAAUCACUAGAGAAUGCAGGAAACCUGGACCCGGGCUUUCAGAUUCAGGAGCCCUGUCUGAGGAUGAGCGGGACCUGGCCCAUUCAAGGGCAGGUGUGGGGACACCCGGCGGAUGCCUUCCACCCAGGCGCCCGGCGCUGUGACCCGAGGUCUGAGGCUCUGCUUUACCCGCCUCUCUCCCGUCUUGUCGCCCUUGGGCAAGGGGCUGGGGCUCCACUCGGGAGGCCGAGUAAGCCGGGUUCCUGGCCACAUUUCCCGUCUCCACCCUCCCAAAUUGUCUGGACAAAUGAAUAAAGCUGCUAGCUGUCAAUGAGUCGCUCUCUACUCUACAGUAAUUAGAAGGUUUAAAAAAAAAAUCAGCCCAGGCGGCUCAGUGGAAGCAUUUAUACUGAUCCAUGGAGCCAGACAGGCAGUUUAAGUGGAAAUUACAGUAAAUGGAGGACUCGGAGCCUGAUUGCAUGUUGUUGCUAAGCUUGGCGGGAGCGCCCAUGCCAAGGAGGCUGUCCUCAUCUCUCUCCAUCACGGGAGCAUUCAGGGGCUGGGGGACCGAGCUGCCCUGGCCCAGCAGCCCGGGCUGGCAUGACCAUGCGGAGGGGCAGGGUGCUUGAAAACACGCCAGGCCCUGGGGCCUCCUGGCACCAAAGCCGGCAGCCAGGCCCUGGGGAGCAGGCUUCCUUCCUCUGUCCGGCCAGGAUACCUGGACUGACCCCUCUGUGCUCCCCAUCCUCGGCCUCCACCAUCAAGACCCCUCCUCCCGGGAGCACCUCCUCCUGAGUUCCACUUGACUGCAGCCUUUCCUGCCAAUCGCAGCGCCUGGCACAGAACCAAGGUGCAGGGGCCCUGUCUGAGGAUGAGCGGGACCUGGCCCAUUCAAGGGCAGGUGUGGGGACACCCAGCGGAUGCCUUCCACCCAGGCGCCCGGCGCUGUGACCCGAGUCUGAGGCUCUGCUUUACCCGCCUCUCUCCCGUCUUGUCGCCCUUGGGCAAGGGGCUGGGGCUCCACUCGGGAGGCCGAGUAAGCCGGGUUCCUGGCCACAUUUCCCGUCUCCACCCUCCCAAAUUGUCUGGACAAAUGAAUAAAGCUGCUAGCUGUCAAUGAGUCGCUCUCUACUCUACAGUAAUUAGAAGGUUUAAAAAAAAAAAAUCAGCCCAGGCGGCUCAGUGGAAGCAUUUAUACUGAUCCAUGGAGCCAGACAGGCAGUUUAAGUGGAAAUUACAGUAAAUGGAGGACUCGGAGCCUGAUUGCAUGUUGUUGCUAAGCUUGGCGGGAGCGCCCAUGCCAAGGAGGCUGUCCUCAUCUCUCUCUCCAUCACGGGAGCAUUCAGGGGCUGGGGAGACCGAGCUGCCCUGGCCCAGCAGCCCGGGCUGGCAUGACCAUGCGGAGGGGCAGGGUGCUUGAAAACACGCCAGGCCCUGGGAGCCUCCUGGCACCAAAGCCGGCAGCCAGGCCCUGGGGAGCAGGCUUCCUUCCUCUGUCCGGCCAGGAUACCUGGACUGACCCCUCUGUGCUCCCCAUCCUCGGCCUCCACCAUCAAGACCCCUCCUCCCGGGAGCACCUCCUCCUGAGUUCCACUUGACUGCAGCCUUUCCU
RNAcentral lists this long non-coding RNA (2516 nucleotides) under Bos grunniens (domestic yak). Its description in RNAcentral is "lncRNA (ENSBGRG00000021518.1)". Lineage: Eukaryota; Metazoa; Chordata; Mammalia; Artiodactyla; Bovidae. The record is from RNAcentral.